UGGGGAAUAUUGGGCAAUGGGCGAAAGCCUGACCCAGCAACGCCGCGUGAGUGAUGAAGGCCUUCGGGUUGUAAAACUCUUUGGACAGGGACGAAGAAAGUGACGGUACCUGUAGAACAAGCCACGGCUAACUACGUGCCAGCAGCCGCGGUAAUACGUAGGUGGCGAGCGUUGUCCGGAAUUACUGGGCGUAAAGAGCUCGUAGGCGGUUUGUCACGUCGUCUGUGAAAUCCUAGGGCUUAACCCUGGACGUGCAGGCGAUACGGGCUGACUUGAGUACUACAGGGGAGACUGGAAUUUCUGGUGUAGCGGUGGAAUGCACAGAUAUCAGGAAGAACACCGAUGGCGAAGGCAGGUCUCUGGGUAGUAACUGACGCUGAGGAGCGAAAGCAUGGGUAGCGAACAGG
This 407-nucleotide ribosomal RNA is filed under the name Verrucomicrobiota bacterium. Its description in RNAcentral is "Verrucomicrobia bacterium partial 16S ribosomal RNA". It matches the Rfam family "Bacterial small subunit ribosomal RNA", at positions 355 to 776 of the family's 1533-position model. The record is from RNAcentral. Lineage: Bacteria; Pseudomonadati; Verrucomicrobiota.